RNAcentral lists this ribosomal RNA (465 nucleotides) under Vreelandella stevensii. Its description in RNAcentral is "partial 16S ribosomal RNA". It matches the Rfam family "Bacterial small subunit ribosomal RNA", at positions 338 to 795 of the family's 1533-position model. The record is from RNAcentral. Lineage: Bacteria; Pseudomonadati; Pseudomonadota; Gammaproteobacteria; Oceanospirillales; Halomonadaceae.
CCUACGGGCGGCAGCAGUGGGGAAUAUUGGACAAUGGGCGAAAGCCUGAUCCAGCCAUGCCGCGUGUGUGAAGAAGGCCUUCGGGUUGUAAAGCACUUUCAGUGGGGAAGAAAGCCUUGGGGCUAAUACCCUCGAGGAAGGACAUCACCCACAGAAGAAGCACCGGCUAACUCCGUGCCAGCAGCCGCGGUAAUACGGAGGGUGCGAGCGUUAAUCGGAAUUACUGGGCGUAAAGCGCGCGUAGGCGGUCUGAUAAGCCGGUUGUGAAAGCCCCGGGCUCAACCUGGGAACGGCAUCCGGAACUGUCAGGCUAGAGGGCAGGAGAGGAAGGUAGAAUUCCCGGUGUAGCGGUGAAAUGCGUAGAGAUCGGGAGGAAUACCAGUGGCGAAGGCGGCCUUCUGGACUAACACUGACGCUGAGGUGCGAAAGCGUGGGUAGCAAACAGGAUUAGAUACCCGAGUAGUC